This is a non-coding RNA of Pimephales promelas (fathead minnow), 967 nucleotides long. The record is from RefSeq and is a predicted model, not a curated record. Lineage: Eukaryota; Metazoa; Chordata; Actinopteri; Cypriniformes; Leuciscidae.
CUUAAACAUAUGGCUUGUUAGUGCUGGACUACCGAAGUAAAGUAAGCACUGAGAAGCAAAAUCCAUGAUUUACUCUGUAAACAUAUUUAUCUAACUUAUAUUUAUGCUACAUUUAGCUUUAGCUAAAUUAGCAUCCAUCCAUCCAUUAAAUAGGGCCUACUUUUUUUUGCUUUUCAGGCUUUUCCAUUUAAACCUGCCCAUAAACUUGCCAGUGGGGCUGUUAAAAAACAUUGUGACUAUCAAGUGUUUACCCAUCUUACAAUGACACGCAGCUGACAGGCUAAAUGCACUCCAAAUGCCCUGUAGAAACAAGUAGCUCAAGUCCUUUUUGGCUAGAGUCUUGUAAAUGAUUGCCAGUGACCUGAAUCCUGAGGGGUCAGAAGCACACCAUGCUUUGACUGUUUGCAUUGCAAAUAUCUGAUAGGCCUUAUCCAACUCCUGUUGAUUUUUCCUCCUGUACGUCUCCAUAAUUAUCCUUUUACCGCCUGUGAGUAGCAACAGAUGGAUGGACCGGAGCGAAGGCGUGGGGGAAGGAUUUGAAGGAUGCGCGUGCACAUGGUUUAUAUGGAGAGCACUGUGAAUGACCCUCUGUUGAACAGCUUCAUGUUUUGCUGGCUGUGAUAAGAUAGUGGAAACAUUUUUGGUUUAUUCAUUGCAUACUUUGACCUUUAACUGAUUAGAGGAUGACUUUCAUUUCCUUGUUCGCCAUUUAACAACCAUUUCUCACCUUUCUGUGUUGAAUGUGACAUUAAACGAAUAGUUCACCAAAAAAACGAACGUUCUGUCAUCUUUUUCCUCAACCUUAUGUUCUUCCAGUCCAAUCUUUUUGAAGAAUGAAAGUCAGAUGGGUUCGGAACAUCAUGAUGGUUUCCUAACCUCCCCAAUCUGCAGUUGGUCAGUCGAACCGAUAGUCCCGCCAUUGGUUGAGAAAAUGCGGCUGUGUCGCUCUGGUCUGCAACAAGUAAGC